AGUGAACGCUGGCGGUAGGCCUAACACAUGCAAGUCGAACGGCAGCACAGUAAGAGCUUGCUCUUACGGGUGGCGAGUGGCGGACGGGUGAGGAAUACAUCGGAAUCUACUUUUUCGUGGGGGAUAACGUAGGGAAACUUACGCUAAUACCGCAUACGACCUACGGGUGAAAGCAGGGGAUCUUCGGACCUUGCGCGAUUGAAUGAGCCGAUGUCGGAUUAGCUAGUUGGCGGGGUAAAGGCCCACCAAGGCGACGAUCCGUAGCUGGUCUGAGAGGAUGAUCAGCCACACUGGAACUGGGACACGGUCCAUGCUCCUACGGGAGGCAGCAGUGGGGAAUAUUGGACAAUGGGCGCAAGCCUGAUCCAGCCAUACCGCGUGGGUGAAGAAGGCCUUCGGGUUGUAAAGCCCUUUUGUUGGGAAAGAAAAGCAGCAGGUUAAUACCCCGCUGUUCUGACGGUACCCAAAGAAUAAGCACCGGCUAACUUCGUG
RNAcentral lists this ribosomal RNA (492 nucleotides) under uncultured bacterium. RNAcentral describes it as "partial 16S ribosomal RNA". It matches the Rfam family "Bacterial small subunit ribosomal RNA", at positions 29 to 507 of the family's 1533-position model. The record is from RNAcentral.